UACGUAGGGGGCAAGCGUUAUCCGGAUUUACUGGGCGUAAAGGGAGCGUAGGCGGACUUUUAAGUGAGAUGUGAAAUACUCGGGCUCAACUUGAGUGCUGCAUUUCAAACUGGAAGUCUAGAGUGCAGGAGAGGAGAAUGGAAUUCCUAGUGUAGCGGUGAAAUGCGUAGAGAUUAGGAAGAACACCAGUGGCGAAGGCGAUUCUCUGGACUGUAACUGACGCUGAGGCUCGAAAGCGUGGGGAGCAAACAGG
Molecule: ribosomal RNA, 253 nt
Filed under: uncultured bacterium
Lineage: Bacteria
Description: partial 16S ribosomal RNA
Rfam family: Bacterial small subunit ribosomal RNA
Source: RNAcentral